GAUCCUGGCUCAGGAUGAACGCUAGCGACAGGCUUAACACAUGUAAGUCGAGGGGCAGCAUAGAAGUAGCAAUACUUGGUGGCGACCGGCGCACGGGUGAGUAACGCGUAUGCAACCUACCUAUCAGAGGGGAAUAACCCGGCGAAAGUCGGACUAAUACCGCAUAAAACAGGGGCACCGCAUGGUGAUAUUUGUUAAAGAAAUUCGCUGAUAGAUGGGCAUGCGUUCCAUUAGGUAGUUGGUGAGGUAACGGCUCACCAAGCCGACGAUGGAUAGGGGAACUGAGAGGUUGGUCCCCCACACUGGUACUGAGACACGGACCAGACUCCUACGGGAGGCAGCAGUGAGGAAUAUUGGUCAAUGGGCGGGAGCCCGAACCAGCCAAGUCCGCGUGAAGGAAGAAGGAUCUAUGGUUCGUAAACUUCUUUUGCAGGGGAAUAAAGUGCGGGACGUGUCCUGUUUUGUAUGUACCCUGAGAAUAAGGAUCGGCUAACUCCGUGCCAGCAGCCGC
Molecule: ribosomal RNA, 511 nt
Filed under: uncultured bacterium
Lineage: Bacteria
Description: bacterial SSU rRNA
Rfam family: Bacterial small subunit ribosomal RNA
Source: RNAcentral